Molecule: long non-coding RNA, 2325 nt
Organism: Meriones unguiculatus (Mongolian gerbil)
Lineage: Eukaryota; Metazoa; Chordata; Mammalia; Rodentia; Muridae
Exons: 3
Source: RefSeq, a predicted model, not a curated record
CGUGGCCUCGCGUCAGAGCGCGGCGGUUCCGCCCCGCUUCUUUGCGUGCAGCCUGGCUGCCGAAGACUCAAGAAACCCGGAGUGGCCCCAGGCUGGAGUCGGAACGCGGUUGGUCGAGGCUGGGCGCUGAUACUUGUGGCUCUCCUGUUCCCGGUGGCUCUUCCGUUGUCAUAUUUAGCACACAAAAGUACAAAAUGUCUACUGUUCCUGUUGGAUAGCUGAUCACAGCAACACAAAUGAAUGAAUCCAGACUCCUGGAUCAGCUGACUGUGGUCUGAGAUCACGGAAAAGUCACUUACUCAGGGUCAUCCUGAAAGUCCUGGGGCUCUGCCAGUUCAUCAUACUCUGCUGCUGCAUCCUUGCCAGCUAGGAUGAGCUCCUUGGGAGGCACCACCACCUGAGAGCAAAAGAGGAGCCUGCUUCAGAAGAGAUGGGCUGCAGCAGCACCUUCUAGACAGAGCAUGAAGGCAAAGAGCCAGAGAGGCUGCUGCUCAUCGGUGCAUAGAAGAGGACCCCAUAGAAGAAGGGCUAUGGUACAGAAGAACCUAUGGACUCCUGGUACUGAUUCAUACAUCUAAAUCAAUAGAAAAGUUCCUACUGGCAACAAGAAAAAACUUCCUAUGGUAUCCAGUAUCAUCAUAUUUCUUUUCCCAUGUUUCUAACUUUACAGAAUGUGCAGCCUGUUUCUUACACAUCCAACAUGUUGUUGGCAAGAAUCCCAGUUUAAAGAAACAAAGUCUCAAUGUCUUUAUCAUUUCACAUUGUCCUUGCCCUGCGCCUUCUUUCCAGGAUCCUAUUCUACACACAUAGCCACCCACAUACAGAUGUGCAAAGGCCACUGACUUAUCAAGUCUGUGUGUCAAUAAGUGCAGUACUAACCUUCAUGUAGCGAAGGUUGGGGAUUGACAUGAUUCUCACUUCUGGAAUAUAAUUGCUAUUGAUAAAUAAAAACAUGUAUUAAUGUUCAGUGGAGUCUUUUGAAAUUAAUAUUUACCUUAAUAAAACCUCACACACAUAAACUAGUGCUACAAAUAAUGUUAACUAGAAUACAUUAACAGAAAAUGAAGAACUGUAUUACCAUAGUAAGAGAAGAGCCAUGAAAACAAAUUAGCAAUUACUUCUGUCUGAAAUUUUAGGAGUUGAGCCUGUAUGUAUAGAGAGCUGGCUUAGGGCUUACAGUUGUGUGUAUCACAACAUAUGCUUUCCUUAUAAAUUUACUUUGGGGGAAUUUCACUUAAUUCACUUAACAAGGUACUGGUUACAAGAUCCAAUCUUAAUAGCUAACAUUCUAUAUGGCUGUAAGCAUGAAUACAUUCUUACCAUACACAGUGCUCCCUGUGUGCCAGGCAAUAUUCUAAGUACUGUACAAGUGCUCACCAGAGUGUUCAAUCCAACCUGUGAGACAGGCAUGACUUCUGCUACCUCGUUACAAAAGAGGAGAUGCUGGGGGAUGUACAGAUGUCUCAGAGGUUAAGAACACUGGCUAUUCUUCCAAGGUGCUGAGUUCAAUUCUCAGUCAACCACUUGGUGGCUCACAACUAUCUAUAAGAGAUCUGGUGCCCUCUUCUGACAUGUAGACAGAACACUGUGUACAUGAUAAAUAAAAAUCUUAAAGAAAAAAGGAGCUGCUAGGCGUGGUCAGGUGUAGUGCCAGCACUACAAAUCCAGGCACUCUAUAGUAUUUUGCUCUUGCUUUCAAAAUACAAGCUGCUUGAAUGUUUGUCUGGACUCAAAAUUGCCCAGGUUCAAAUGCCUGCUCAGUAUUUAUAGACCAACAUAUCACUUUGUAAAAACAGUGGUUUGAAUGAAAAUGGCCCCACAGGCUCAUGUGUUUGAAUGCCUGCUCUGUAGUUGGUGGAAUUGUUUGGAAAGGUUGAGGAGGUAUGGCCUUGUUGGAGGUGUCAACAGAGGCAGGAGUUUAGGCUUUAAAAGCCCACACCAAUGCCAGUUAGCUCUCUCUCUCUCUACCCUAUGGAUAAGGAUGUAAGAUUGCCAGCUACCUAUGGUGGUGCAAGCCUUUAAUCCCAGCACUCAGGAGACAGAGGGAGAUGGAAUUCUGUGAGUUAAAGGCCAGCCUGGUCUACAUAGUUCCAGGACAGCUAGAGCUAGAAUAAGACCCUGUCUCAACCUCCCACCCCCAAAAGGAUGUAAACUCUUGGCUAUUGCUCCAGCACCAUGCCAUUCCCAUACUCUUUUGCUAGUUCUUGCUUGCUGUUUAUGAUGUGAAACCUCAGCUGUUCCUACUGCUAUGUCUUUGUUCUGCUAUCAUGGACUCUAAUGCUGUGAAACCAUAGCAUAAGCCCAAUUAAAUGAUUUCUUUUAUAA